CUUGAAACCUAUAAGAGGUCCAGCCUGCCCAGUGACUUUGUUCAACGGCCGCGGUAUCCUAACCGUGCGAAGGUAGCGUAAUCACUUGUUCUUUAAAUGAGGACUAGUAUGAAUGGCACCACGAAGGUUAUACUGUCUCCUUUUUCUAAUCAGUGAAACUAAUCUUCCCGUGAAGAAGCGGGAAUAAAAAUAUAAGACGAGAAGACCCUAUGGAGCUUUAAACAAAUAUACAAUUGCCUCCUUUAAUAAAAAUUCCAGAAAAGACACUUCUAUUUGGGCACUUUGAUAUAAAGUUUUAGGUUGGGGUGACCACGGAGUAAAAAACAACCUCCGCAGUGAAAGGGGCUUUCCCCCUAAACCGAGGGCUACAACCCUAAGAAUCAAUAAAUUGACACUAAUUGACCCAAUUAAUUGAUCAAUGAAC
RNAcentral lists this ribosomal RNA (424 nucleotides) under Leptodactylus fuscus group sp. ABGD cluster 22. RNAcentral describes it as "partial large subunit ribosomal RNA". It matches the Rfam family "Bacterial large subunit ribosomal RNA", at positions 1835 to 2457 of the family's 2925-position model. Lineage: Eukaryota; Metazoa; Chordata; Amphibia; Anura; Leptodactylidae. The record is from RNAcentral.